This 119-nucleotide ribosomal RNA is filed under the name Pteropus alecto (black flying fox). Lineage: Eukaryota; Metazoa; Chordata; Mammalia; Chiroptera; Pteropodidae. The record is from RNAcentral.
GAGAACGGCCAUGCUACCCUGAAUGAACCCGAUCCCGUCUGAUCUGGGAAGCUAAGCAGGGUCAGGCCUGGCUAGUACUUGGAUGGGAGACCACCUAGGACGACCAGGUGCUGUAGGCA